Molecule: long non-coding RNA, 1909 nt
Organism: Vicia villosa (hairy vetch)
Lineage: Eukaryota; Viridiplantae; Streptophyta; Magnoliopsida; Fabales; Fabaceae
Exons: 3
Source: RefSeq, a predicted model, not a curated record
UAUGCUAGUUGUAUUAAUUCAAUUUGCUCAGAUUUAAUAUUACAUCAAAACCUUAUGUUAAUCUAGUUAAUCUCCACUAAUACCCAAUUACUAAAAAUCAACGUUAAAUGGCAAAUUGAAUUAAAAGAGGGGUUAGGGUUUACCUUGUUGUGACUCAUGAGCUUACUUCAAGCUCUUCUUCCCUCCUACGAACAAAAUGAGAUGGCGAAGCUAGCUUUCAUCUCCGACUCAACUUUCCGGCGCCGAACAAACGUGCUCCGUCUUCCAUCUCUCUUCGCAUCUCAACUUUAGCUCUCUCAAGCUCUUUCUCAGACGAAUAUACGGACGACGGCCGGAGUCACGAAUUAUCACCUCCGAUUGAAGCUCCUUCACUACCGUGACCAAGAAAACUGGAUCGACGUCAUCUCAUUUAUCCGCCUCUCUCUCCCUUUUCCACGAUUCAAAUCCUCGUGUGGUGUUGUUGCUCGUAGCGAUUGGCGCUGAGGUUGCAGACAAUUAAAGUGAAGACGAAGACGUCAGUUGCGAUGCGAAGCAUUAAUAUUUAAGAGGAUUGAAGGUGCGAUCGUGCGAAGAAUUUAAUGAGGAUGAUGAUUGAACAGUUGAAGCUUCAUGUUGAAGAUGAAUGAGAGAGUGAAGGUUGAUGAAACAUGGUGGUUCGACGACGAUGAUGAUGAUGCAGAGGCGUUGUUGAAAGCUGAACGAUGGCUCUGAGAUGAUGAAGAUUGAGUGUGGAUUAAGAGAGAAAUUUCGGAGCAUUUGUUACAUCUUUUUCGAUGAGUUUCUUUUCCAACUUUCUCUUUUGUUUUCUGUUCUGAGAAUUCUUUUUUUCUCUUCUGAUUUUCUGUUUCUUUUCUGUUGAUGAUGAUGAUGAUGAGAUUGAAGAGUGGUGAUGAUGAAUGGAAGUGCCGAAUGAUGAAGGUUGUAGAGAGUGAGAAGGGAGAAGGUUGAUGAAAAUGGUGGAGAGGGGAAUGGUGAAGUGGAUGCGUGAAGAAGCCUCUGACUUGGAGGGGAGGAGAAUAUAUAGGUUGUUAAUGAUGAAGAAGUUAGUUAGAGGAGAAGUAAUGAGAGCCCUUAGAUUAAACCUUUUUGUUGUACAAAUGGAGGGUGAGAUUGAAGUUAGUUGUAGUUGGUUACCAAUUCUGCUAGAGAUGUUUUUCUGUUAUAGGGCUAUAUGGCUAGUUAGCAUGAAGAAAUGUUGAAGAAGCUUUGAAGAAGUUUUUCUGUGAGGCUUUUUCUGAGUUUUUGUGUACGAAUUGCAGAGAAACAAAAUGAAGUGAAGGUGAUUGGUGGUUGAACAGUUGAAGCUUACAGACUGAGGUCUUGUUGCAGGGUUUUUUUUGUGAGAGAUUCAAUGAAGGUGAAGAUUGAUGAUGGAAUGAAGGAGCAGCUUGAUGAUGAUUGAAUUGAGGAUCGAGAGAGAGAUGGCGUUUAUUACAAUUCUGUUAUCACCUAUUUCUUUUUCGUCUUCUGUUGAAGUCCCCCCCGAAACUUUGUUUUUCAUUCCAUCCCCUUUCCAUUGAUUUUUUUUGUCAUCCUUUGGGCCUCUAAUGGGUUUUUUCUUUUAUAAUUCAAACUAUUUUGUAAUGGAGUUUGAAUGGGCUUUUAUUUGUGAAUGUAAUGUGAAUAAGUACUUGGACUUUGAUUUUCAUGUAAUUAUGGAUGUAAUGAUAUUGAUAUAUUUGCCAUCCUUCUUUUUGUAACAUGAUACUUUUUCUUUUAAUGAAUUUUGAACGAGGAAUAAUGUGCAUCUUAGAUAAGCUUUUGACGACUUUGAAUGAUGGAUCUUGUAUAAAAAUACUUGAAAACUCUUGAAUGAAUGAACGUGUUUUCCAUAAGGCUUUCCAUAAGGCUUGAAUAUCCUUUUACAUGCCAUUUGUCUUAAGUUUCAAGUAACUUGUUUCUCAAGACC